GCAGUGAUUGAGCCACGGAUGAACAUGUGAUCCCAGCCAGGCCAACCAGAGGCUUUCAUUUGGGAAUUCUUACUGAAAUUAGAGCGGAGAAUUUCUCUCUGAGUCUUGGUGAUCCGGGGAAAUAUUUGUGAAACUCUCAAAAUAUUCAUAAAGGAUUGGUUUUGUUCAUUCUGCAACAUUGUGAUUGAAAGAGCUUUGGAGUUAGACAGAUUUGGUCCUUGGUUCCCUGACCAGAGAUUGAACCUGUGCCCUUGGCCAGUGAGAGUGUGAAGUCCUAACCACUGGACCACCAAGGAAUUCCCAGAUUUCUAUUUUAAAAGCAUCCCUUGGGUACCAAGUACGUAAGACUGAUGCCCCAGCUCCCAGCUGAGACUUAAAGUUUGGAAUAUUUAUAGAAUAUUUCUAUGAUCUAGAUUAUAAUGGUAACAUUAUAUUAUAAUCGAGAUUAUAUGUUAGGCUUCUUAUUUCAAGGAAAGAAUAUUACUAGCAAAUAAUUACUCUUUUAGUAAGUUCAAGAAAAAUAAUUUCUGCGGCAGAAAUUCUAGUUACUGACUAGUCCUUUGUUUUGUUUUGUU
Kogia breviceps (pygmy sperm whale) is the source of this 575-nucleotide non-coding RNA. Lineage: Eukaryota; Metazoa; Chordata; Mammalia; Artiodactyla; Physeteridae. The record is from RefSeq and is a predicted model, not a curated record.